UCCUCCGUGGCGCAAUUGGCUAGCGCGUCUGACUGUUAUUCAGGUUGAAAGUUCGAGCCUUUCCGGGGGAG
This 71-nucleotide transfer RNA is filed under the name Epichloe festucae E2368. RNAcentral's name for it is "tRNA-Asn (GTT) (tRNA-Asn-GTT-3-1)". It matches the Rfam family "tRNA". From Rfam's summary of the family: Transfer RNA (tRNA) molecules are approximately 80 nucleotides in length. Their secondary structure includes four short double-helical elements and three loops (D, anti-codon, and T loops). Further hydrogen bonds mediate the characteristic L-shaped molecular structure. tRNAs have two regions of fundamental functional importance: the anti-codon, which is responsible for specific mRNA codon recognition, and the 3' end, to which the tRNAs corresponding amino acid is attached (by aminoacyl-tRNA synthetases). tRNAs cope with the degeneracy of the genetic code in two manners: having more than one tRNA (with a specific anti-codon) for a particular amino acid; and 'wobble' base-pairing, i.e. permitting non-standard base-pairing at the 3rd anti-codon position. Lineage: Eukaryota; Fungi; Ascomycota; Sordariomycetes; Hypocreales; Clavicipitaceae. The record is from RNAcentral. RNAcentral also lists the same sequence under 1 other name.